Molecule: ribosomal RNA, 414 nt
Filed under: uncultured microorganism
Description: bacterial SSU rRNA
Rfam family: Archaeal small subunit ribosomal RNA
Source: RNAcentral
GCGCAGCAGGCGAGAAACCUCCGCAAUGCGGGAAACCGUGACGGGGUCACCCCGAGUGCCUCCCGAUAAGGGAGGCUUUUCCCCGCUGUAAACAGGCGGGAGAAUAAGCGGGGGCAAGUCUGGUGUCAGCCGCCGCGGUAAUACCAGCCCCGCGAGUGGUCGGGACGGUUAUUGGGCCUAAAGCGCCCGUAGCCGGCCCGGCAAGUCCCCGCGUAAAGCCCCGGGGCUUAACCCGGGGAAUUGCGGGGAUACUACCGGGCUAGGGGGCGGGAGAGGCCGAGGGGUACUCCCGGGGUAGGGGCGAAAUCCUGUAAUCCCGGGAGGACCACCAGUGGCGAAGGCGCUCGGCUGGAACGCGCCCGACGGUGAGGGGCGAAAGCCGGGGGAGCAAACCGGAUUAGAUACCCGGGUAGU